Molecule: ribosomal RNA, 406 nt
Filed under: uncultured bacterium
Lineage: Bacteria
Description: partial 16S ribosomal RNA
Rfam family: Bacterial small subunit ribosomal RNA
Source: RNAcentral
AUUGAACGCUGGCGGCAGGCCUAACACAUGCAAGUCGAGCGAGUGGCGGACGGGUGAGUAAUGUCUGGGAAACUGCCUGAUGGAGGGGGAUAACUACUGGAAACGGUAGCUAAUACCGCAUACCAUCAGAUGUACCCAGAUGGGAUUAGCUAGGUGGUGGGGUAACGGCUCACCAAGGCGACGAUCCCUAGCUGGUCUGAGAGGAUGAUCAGCCACACUGGGACUGAGACACGGCCCAGACUCCUACGGGAGGCAGCAGUGGGGAAUAUUGCACAAUGGGCGCAAGCCUGAUACAGCCAUGCCGCGUGUAUGAAGAAGGCCUUCGGGUUGUAAAGUACUUUCAGUCGGGAGGCGUUACCCGCAGAAGAAGCACCGGCUAACUCCGUGCCAGCAGCCGCGGUAAUAC